GAUGAACGCUGGCGGUGUGCCUAAUACAUGCAAGUCGAGCGAACAGACGAGGAGCUUACUCCUCUGACGUUAGCGGCGGACGGGUGAGUAACACGUGGAUAACCUACCUAUAAGACUGGGAUAACUUCGGGAAACCGGAGCUAAUACCGGAUAACAUGUUGAACCGCAUGGUUCAACAGUGAAAGACGGUCUUGCUGUCACUUAUAGAUGGAUCCGCGUCGCAUUAGCUAGUUGGUAAGGUAAUGGCUUACCAAGGCAACGAUGCGUAGCCGACCUGAGAGGGUGAUCGGCCACACUGGAACUGAGACACGGUCCAGACUCCUACGGGAGGCAGCAGUAGGGAAUCUUCCGCAAUGGGCGAAAGCCUGACGGAGCAACGCCGCGUGAGUGAAGAAGGUCUUCGGAUCGUAAAACUCUGUUAUUAGGGAAGAACAAAUGUGUAAGUAACUAUGCACGUCUUGACGGUACCUAAUCAGAAAGCCACGGCUAACUACGUG
RNAcentral lists this ribosomal RNA (497 nucleotides) under uncultured bacterium. RNAcentral's name for it is "partial 16S ribosomal RNA". It matches the Rfam family "Bacterial small subunit ribosomal RNA", at positions 28 to 507 of the family's 1533-position model. The record is from RNAcentral.